Non-coding RNA from Dipodomys ordii (Ord's kangaroo rat), 66 nucleotides. NCBI's taxonomy places the organism in Eukaryota, Metazoa, Chordata, Mammalia, Rodentia, Heteromyidae. The record is from Rfam.
GGUGGCUCAGUGGUAGAGUGCUUGCUUCACAUGUAUGAGGCCCUGGGUUCGAAUUCUCAGAAACCA